Molecule: long non-coding RNA, 1130 nt
Filed under: Parus major (Great Tit)
Lineage: Eukaryota; Metazoa; Chordata; Aves; Passeriformes; Paridae
Description: lncRNA (ENSPMJG00000014023.1)
Source: RNAcentral
CUUCUAUCAACUCUGACAUCAUUUUCUGCACCUCUGCUGUCACAUUGCAUGGGGUGCAAGAGCAUUUCAAAAUUACCAGUGGGCUUGAGCUGCAGAGCACGGCUCAUCGAUCAAACCUCUGAAUCCAUCUGAGAGAGUUUGAUCAGGUGUUUGAUUCCAGCCCUCUGCACAGACACACCUCUUCCCACACUCACAAUUUUAUUGGCACACCUGUUGUGACCCAGGUGGGAAAUUUUGUGCAUUUAGCAAAUCCAGGUCUAAUGGGGCAAACUAAGCAUCAAUUUUAUUUCACCAUGUAGGAGCAAGCUACGUCAAGUACUGCACAUCACUUUAUGAUCAUGCUAAAGCCACUGCGACAACAAGCCACCUCAGCAAGCUGUCAUUUUAAUGUUUUAUCCAUUCCCUUCUCGUGUGUGUUUGCUCCACAUUUCACUGAAGCCUCAUCUCCCCUGCCCACGGCUGCAGCAAAGCCCCGUCUCGAGCAUGUCACAUGGAAUGAACCAGGAAAACUCCACGCAAAACCUUCUGAUUGCUGGCUUCCAGAGGAAAAUUCCCUCCUGGCCAGAAAGCGAGGAGGACAAGUGAGACAGUGGUUGAACCUCACCUGAAUCAUUUUUCCAGUUUGCCAUUCAGCCACCAGAACACGUCCCUACAGCUCUGGAUCCAGCAGUUUAACAGCUCUAUUGUUUUCACUUGACUCCUGUGAAACUACCUGUGCUGGGAGUCAGCCACGUGGCUUUGAGUCUCCCUGAAUCCAUGCCCAAACAAACUUUAGAAGUCAAACCAGGUGAUGGGCAGAGCCUGGCAGGGAGCCCCAGAAUCCUGGCUGGCCCUUCAGUGCUGAGCUCGGGACCCUUCUCAUCCUCCAGGUCUGCAGAGCUCCCUACAACACAUCUGGCUGAAGAGGGAAGGAUGGGGGCUGAAAGGGGAAUUAUUUUCUUUUGCAGCUUUCAGUGCUUAUGACCCAAAUUGGGGAAGUGUGUAAGCUGAAAGAAAUGCCUGGGUGGAUUUGAAACUGAGAUCAGGGAUACAUUUUUCAGUGGUUCUUAUAUUAGUUUAAAAUGUACUUUUCACUCUUAUGAGCAUAGCUUCCUUUAAAUAAAUACACAGAUAACUUCUCCUGGUUGCCA